This 468-nucleotide ribosomal RNA is filed under the name uncultured bacterium. Its description in RNAcentral is "partial 16S ribosomal RNA". It matches the Rfam family "Bacterial small subunit ribosomal RNA", at positions 28 to 507 of the family's 1533-position model. The record is from RNAcentral.
GACGAACGCUGGCGGCGUGCUUAACACAUGCAAGUCGAACGGAAAGGCCCUGCGUUUGUGGGGUGCUCGAGUGGCGAACGGGUGAGUAACACGUGAGUAACCUGCCCUUGACUUUGGGAUAACUUCAGGAAACUGGGGCUAAUACCGGAUAGGAGCUCCUGCUGCAUGGUGGGGGUUGGAAAGUUUCGGCGGUUGGGGAUGGACUCGCGGCUUAUCAGCUUGUUGGUGGGGUAGUGGCUUACCAAGGCUAUGACGGGUAGCCGGCCUGAGAGGGUGACCGGCCACAUUGGGACUGCGAGACGCCCCAGACUCCUACGGGAGGCAGCAGUGGGAAAUAUUGCACAAUGGGCGGAAGCCUGAUGCAGCAACGCCGCGUGCGGGAUGACGGCCUUCGGGUUGUAAACCGCUUUCGCCUGUGACGAAGCGUGAGUGACGGUAAUGGGUAAAGAAGCACCGGCUAACUACGUG